This 463-nucleotide ribosomal RNA is filed under the name uncultured bacterium. RNAcentral's name for it is "SSU rRNA". It matches the Rfam family "Bacterial small subunit ribosomal RNA", at positions 26 to 518 of the family's 1533-position model. The record is from RNAcentral.
AGAAUCAACGCUGGCGGCGUGCCUAACACAUGCAAGUCGAACGAGAAAGUGGAGCAAUCCAUGAGUACAGUGGCGUACGGGUGAGUAACACGUGACUAACCUACCCUCGAGUGGGGAAUAAACCUCGGGAAACCGGGGCUAAUACCGCAUAACAUCCACGGAUCAAAUGCGUAAGCAGCUUGAGGAGGGGGUCGCGGCUGAUUAGCUAGUUGGCGGGGUAAUGGCCCGCCAAGGCAGUGAUCAGUAGCCGGCCUGAGAGGGCGCACGGCCACACUGGAACUGAAACACGGUCCAGACUCCUACGGGAGGCAGCAGUGGGGAAUUUUGCGCAAUGGGGGAAACCCUGACGCAGCAACGCCGCGUGGAGGAUUAAAGCCCCUUGGGGUGUAAACUCCUUUCGAUCGGGACAGUUAUGGACGGUACCGGAAGAAGAAGCACCGGCUAACUCUGCGCCAGCAGCCGC